This is a non-coding RNA of Arabidopsis thaliana (thale cress), 1253 nucleotides long. The record is from RefSeq. Lineage: Eukaryota; Viridiplantae; Streptophyta; Magnoliopsida; Brassicales; Brassicaceae.
UAUAUUUUUAUCUACUAUAAACUAAAUCUUUAUACAAAAUCUCUCUCUGCUCUUGCCGCCGCUUAGUGAAAAAUUCCAGAUCGGAGGCUGGAGAGUGGUGGCUUUCAUAGCACCGGCUCUGACCUCUCCCUAGUAGCUUAAUUUUGUUUUAGUUCUUCGUUUUCUUCUUGUUGUGGCUUUGUUUGGAGAAACCUUUCUCCGAAGUUGGAGUUUGUGUUUUCUUCCCAUCUUAUUUGCAGAAUUUCAGAUUUCGUUUGGGGAAUUGUUUAGUUUGUUUCGAUUCUUGAGAUUGGGUGUGUUGAGGAAGCGGUUAGAGUGGCUAGAUCUGUAAGGGUUUCUGUUUACAGUAAAAUUGAUGAUGCCGGAUCUAUUCGAUCUACGGUUGGUUCGAUGAAUAAUGCCAUUGUAUUUUGCUUGUUCCUGUCUCAGUUCUUUAUGCCUUUCUCGGGUCAAUCUAUGUUUUUGCCGUUGGUGUGGUUUGGUUGUUGGUUAGCGUUUGCGCCGUUCACCAUUUGUUUCUCCUUUACACCCCGGUCUCGUCGUAUCAGCUUGCAGUUCUCUUUUGGUUCUUUCCCUUUGUAGGCAGAGGCUUCGUUUGGUUUGAAGUUGUGAAUUUUCUCUAUGUUUGCAGAAUCUCUUCUCCUUGUUGUGGUUCCCUGUGUUUGAUGGCUGGCUCGAGUUUUCGUCUUUCUCGCUUCUGUGAGUGGUGAUUUUCGAGGGCUUAUGCUUCGCUCCUUGUCCUUGCUUUUCAGAUCUGUUGAGAUUGGAUCGCGUUUUGAAGGAUUCUAACUAGACGUCCAUAGGCGUAUCAGACGUCAUCGUCACAUCCAGAAGCUUGUUUGAGGCUCUCUUAGUGUUUUUGCUUGCUGGAUUAUGAUUUCCUUGGUUCUUGGUUUCGAGAGAUUGGCUCUCAUCGUGAUAGGAGGUAGUUGUUGUUGUCUUUGGGUAAGCAGGGGGCACCCUUGAUGAAUCUCUUUUGCAGGAGUUCCAGGAGAAGAUGUUUCCUAGGUUUCAAACCUAUUUGUGUUUGUUCUAUGUUUAAGGGAUUGCCCUCUUUCGAAACUGGUUUGAAAUUUCUUGCUUUGUAAUUCUAGUUGUGAUCCUUGUUUCCCUUUGUUAGGGCCUAGUUUUCGGGGAAGUUUCGUUUUCCUCCGGCUCUUGUCUCCGGGGACUGUUUCGUUGUCCGCUGGCUUUAGCUUCCUUUGUUUGGGCAUUUGUAAUCUCACCAUAAUUUCAUAUCAUGCUUUUCAAUG